UACACACCGCCCGUCACAUCACGAAAGUGGACUACACUAGAAGCCGGCGUGCCAACCCGCAAGGGGGGUAGCCGUCCAAGGUAUGGUUCAUGAUUGGGGUG
RNAcentral lists this ribosomal RNA (101 nucleotides) under uncultured bacterium. RNAcentral describes it as "partial 16S ribosomal RNA". It matches the Rfam family "Bacterial small subunit ribosomal RNA", at positions 1384 to 1482 of the family's 1533-position model. The record is from RNAcentral.